UACGGAGGGUGCAAGCGUUGUUCGGAAUCAUUGGGCGUAAAGAGCGCGCAGGCGGCUUGGUAAGUCGGAUGUGAAAUCCCGAGGCUCAACCUCGGGUCUGCAUCCGAUACUGCCCGGCUAGAGGUAGGUAGGGGAGAUCGGAAUUCCUGGUGUAGCGGUGAAAUGCGCAGAUAUCAGGAGGAACACCGGUGGCGAAGGCGGAUCUCUGGGCCUUACCUGACGCUCAGGCGCGAAAGCUAGGGGAGCGAACUGG
RNAcentral lists this ribosomal RNA (253 nucleotides) under uncultured bacterium. RNAcentral describes it as "partial 16S ribosomal RNA". It matches the Rfam family "Bacterial small subunit ribosomal RNA", at positions 524 to 776 of the family's 1533-position model. The record is from RNAcentral.